ACGGGUGAGGAAUACAUCGGAAUCUACUCUGUCGUGGGGGAUAACGUAGGGAAACUUACGCUAAUACCGCAUACGACCUACGGGUGAAAGCAGGGGAUCUUCGGACCUUGCGCGAUUGAAUGAGCCGAUGUCGGAUUAGCUAGUUGGCGGGGUAAAGGCCCACCAAGGCGACGAUCCGUAGCUGGUCUGAGAGGAUGAUCAGCCACACUGGAACUGAGACACGGUCCAGACUCCUACGGGAGGCAGCAGUGGGGAAUAUUGGACAAUGGGCGCAAGCCUGAUCCAGCCAUACCGCGUGGGUGAAGAAGGCCUUCGGGUUGUAAAGCCCUUUUGUUGGGAAAGAAAUCCAUCUGGCUAAUACCCGGAUGGGAUGACGGUACCCAAAGAAUAAGCACCGGCUAACUUCGUGCCAGCAGCCGCGGUAAUACGAAGGGUGCAAGCGUUACUCGGAAUUACUGGGCGUAAAGCGUGCGUAGGUGGUCGUUUAAGUCCGUUGUGAAAGCCCUGGGCUCAACCUGGGAACUGCAGUGGAUACUGGGCGACUAGAGUGUGGUAGAGGGUAGCGGAAUUCCUGGU
Molecule: ribosomal RNA, 576 nt
Filed under: uncultured bacterium
Lineage: Bacteria
Description: bacterial SSU rRNA
Rfam family: Bacterial small subunit ribosomal RNA
Source: RNAcentral